AUUGAACGCUGGCGGCAUGCUUUACACAUGCAAGUCGAACGGUAACAGGCCUUCGGGUGCUGACGAGUGGCGAACGGGUGAGUAAUGCAUCGGAACGUACCCAGAGGUGGGGGAUAACGCAGCGAAAGCUGUGCUAAUACCGCAGGUGAUCUGAGGAUGAAGACGGGGGACCGCGCAGCAAUGUUUGGACUCGCGCCUUUGGAGCGGCCGAUGUGGGAUUAGCUAGUUGGAGGGGCAAAGGCCUACCAAGGCAACGAUCCGUAGCUGGACUGAGAGGACGAGCAGCCACACUGGAAGUGGCACACGGCUCAGACUCCUACGGAAGACACCAGAGGGGAUUUUACGAAACUGGACACAGGCCUACUCCAGCCAUGCCGCGUGCGGGAAGAGGGCCUUCGGGUUGUAAACCGCUUUUGGCAGGAACGAAACGGUGUCCGAUAACACCGGCGCUAAUGACGGUACCUGCAGAAUAAGCACCGGCUAGCUACGUG
This 491-nucleotide ribosomal RNA is filed under the name uncultured bacterium. RNAcentral describes it as "partial 16S ribosomal RNA". It matches the Rfam family "Bacterial small subunit ribosomal RNA", at positions 29 to 507 of the family's 1533-position model. The record is from RNAcentral.